GCCGCUAUAGGGCGGCGCUGGGGCGGCCCGGGGGCCCACGGCUCCUCGUCGCGUGUCAUCGACACGUGUCCUCGCCGCCGCCGCCGCCGCCGCCGCGGAGCCGCGCUCUGUUCCCGUCUCGCCUGUCACCGGUCCGUCACCGAGCCCGCGCCGACCCGGGCACUCUGUCGGAUGCCAGUUGGGACGUGUUUCCUCUCCCACACCAGCCUCACGGUCUGUGAGGAAGGAGGCAGGAGCGGAGAAAUGAAGUGACUAGCUAGCCCAACCCAGGGCGUGGCAGCAGGCAAGUGGCAGAGCUGGGAGGAGAACUGCGGUCUCCCGAACGGCCCUCUUCUUCCCUCGAGGUUACAGCCGGGCACCUCUUGAGGUGAGGGUUCUGUCACA
Ornithorhynchus anatinus (platypus) is the source of this 384-nucleotide long non-coding RNA. RefSeq lists it as uncharacterized. The record is from RefSeq and is a predicted model, not a curated record. NCBI's taxonomy places the organism in Eukaryota, Metazoa, Chordata, Mammalia, Monotremata, Ornithorhynchidae. The transcript has 3 exons.